GAAGGUCACACCCGUUCCCAUCCCGAACACGGUAGUUAAGCUUCUCUGCGCCAAUGGUAGUUGGGGGCUUCCCCCUGUGAGAGUAGGUCGCUGCCGGGC
Molecule: ribosomal RNA, 99 nt
Filed under: Listeria monocytogenes
Lineage: Bacteria; Bacillati; Bacillota; Bacilli; Caryophanales; Listeriaceae
Source: RNAcentral